RNAcentral lists this ribosomal RNA (497 nucleotides) under uncultured bacterium. Its description in RNAcentral is "partial 16S ribosomal RNA". It matches the Rfam family "Bacterial small subunit ribosomal RNA", at positions 28 to 507 of the family's 1533-position model. The record is from RNAcentral.
GAUGAACGCUGGCGGCGUGCCUAAUACAUGCAAGUCGAGCGAACGGACGAGAAGCUUUCUUUUCUGAUGUUAGCGGCGGACGGGUGAGUAACACGUGGAUAACCUACCUAUAAGACUGGGAUAACUUCGGGAAACCGGAGCUAAUACCGGAUAAUAUUUUGAACCGCAUGGUUCAAAAGUGAAAGACGGUCUUGCUUUCACUUAUAGAUGGAUCCGCGCUGCAUUAGCUAGUUGGUAAGGUAACGGCUUACCAAGGCAACGAUGCAUAGCCGAGCUGAGAGGGUGAUCGGCCACACUGGAACUGAGACACGGUCCAGACUCCUACGGGAGGCAGCAGUAGGGAAUCUUCCGCAAUGGGCGAAAGCCUGACGGAGCAACGCCGCGUGAGUGAUGAAGGUCUUCGGAUCGUAAAACUCUGUUAUUAGGGAAGAACAUAUGUGUAAGUAACUGUGCACAUCUUGACGGUACCUAAUCAGAAAGCCACGGCUAACUACGUG